RNAcentral lists this ribosomal RNA (253 nucleotides) under uncultured bacterium. Its description in RNAcentral is "partial 16S ribosomal RNA". It matches the Rfam family "Bacterial small subunit ribosomal RNA", at positions 524 to 776 of the family's 1533-position model. The record is from RNAcentral.
UACGUAGGGGGCAAGCGUUGUCCGGAAUUAUUGGGCGUAAAGCGCGUGUAGGCGGCUCGGUAAGACUGCUGUGAAAGUCCAGGGCUCAACCCUGGAAUGCCGGUGGAUACUGUCGAGCUAGAGUCCGGAAGAGGCGAGUGGAAUUCCUGGUGUAGCGGUGAAAUGCGCAGAUAUCAGGAGGAACACCAAUGGCGAAGGCAGCUCGCUGGGACGGUACUGACGCUGAGACGCGAAAGCGUGGGGAGCAAACAGG